GUCAGAGUUUGAUCCUGGCUCAGAUUGAACGCUGGCGGCAUGCUUUACACAUGCAAGUCGAACGGUAACAGGUUAAGCUGACGAGUGGCUAACGGGUGAGUAAUGCAUCGGAACGUGCCCGAUCGUGGGGAUAACGCAGCGAAAGCUGCGCUAAUACCGCAUACGAUCUGAGGAUGAAAGCGGGGGACCGUAAGGCCUCGCGCGAUCGGAGCGGCCGAUGUCAGAUUAGGUAGUUGGUGGGGUAAAGGCCCACCAAGGCGACGAUCUGUAGCUGGUCUGAGAGGACGACCAGCCACACUGGGGACUGAGACACGGCCCAGACUCCUACGGGAGCAGCAGUGGGGAAUUUUGGACAAUGGGCGAAAGCCUGAUCCC
RNAcentral lists this ribosomal RNA (375 nucleotides) under uncultured Hydrogenophaga sp. RNAcentral describes it as "bacterial SSU rRNA". It matches the Rfam family "Bacterial small subunit ribosomal RNA", at positions 1 to 390 of the family's 1533-position model. Lineage: Bacteria; Pseudomonadati; Pseudomonadota; Betaproteobacteria; Burkholderiales; Comamonadaceae. The record is from RNAcentral.